Molecule: long non-coding RNA, 822 nt
Filed under: Linum usitatissimum (flax)
Lineage: Eukaryota; Viridiplantae; Streptophyta; Magnoliopsida; Malpighiales; Linaceae
Description: long non-coding RNA (LUSI_LNC002091)
Source: RNAcentral
AGUCUUUGAGGGAAGGAGUUGAUCUGGCUCGAGAAAUACAAGUAUCUGGAAAAGCUAUGCAGACGCUUGACAACUGGAUAAGAGUUUCUAACUACCGUAAGCAUCUCUCUCACAUGACCAUCCAUUUCUUGGUUUUAAGGUUUUGCUAGAAUCUGGAUCACUAACAAACGUUCUUCUGACUGCCCAAUUCCACCCUAGAACCAAAUUGUCCACUCAGUACUCGAAGUCUAGCUCGCCAACGGUGUUGAACCCCAGCUCCUCUCCCUGAACCUCAGACUUACCAGCAACAAGAUCAUCAAUGGCGACCCAAAACGUUCCAACCUGGAGAGUAACUCAUUUCAAGGCUCCGAAAAUUGGACCACGAAAGACGAUGCCAACAUGGCACUGCUAGCUUCUUCAACCAUUGUAUGGAGCCAUUGUUGGGCUAGUUUAGCUUCUCCUAUUUGUUUCAAGAUGAGAAUGCCAAGUGUUUCAAAUCAUAGUUUUGUCUCUGUAUGUGCAGUAAAUAACAUGACAUUCUGCUACAUGAAGUCAUUGCUCUGGGAUCAGUAUUGCAUAAAUAAAGUCCUGCAAGUAUUAUGCUUCCACAUGUUGAUUUAUGGUUGAACCAGUCAGACCAACCGAUCUGAUACAGUUUUUUGAAGGACUAAAAAUCAAUUCAACUCUCCCGUGGGCUUUUGUUUCGUUAAGAAUCGUAAAUCUUAUUUGGGCCUCCAACUUCUCUCGACCCGACUUCAUAAACCCCCCGUCCUGUAAACGGGCAUUUUUCUCUACUUCGAACAAGAGAGACGGGCGGACAUGGCGACGGCGAUGCAGCGAGGC